RNAcentral lists this ribosomal RNA (301 nucleotides) under uncultured bacterium. RNAcentral describes it as "partial 16S ribosomal RNA". It matches the Rfam family "Bacterial small subunit ribosomal RNA", at positions 509 to 808 of the family's 1533-position model. The record is from RNAcentral.
CAGCCGCCACGGUAAUACGGGGGGGGCAAGCGUUAUUCGUCAUGACUGGGCGUAAAGGGCAUGUAGGUGGCCUUUCCCGUUACCAGGGGGGGAUCCCGACUUCAUCGGAGUAUUCCCUUGGCAUAGGGUAGGGCUUGAGUAAGCAAGGGGAGAAUGGAAUUUCUGGAGUAGAGGUAAAAUUCACAGAUACCAGAAGGAAGACCGAAAGCGCAGGCAAUUCUCUGGUGCUUUACUGACGCUCAGGUGCGAAAGCGUGGGGAGCGAAGGGGAUUAGAUACCCGUGUAGUCCCUGUCUCUUAUA